Molecule: ribosomal RNA, 1219 nt
Filed under: metagenome
Description: bacterial SSU rRNA
Rfam family: Bacterial small subunit ribosomal RNA
Source: RNAcentral
AGAGUUUGAUCCUGGCUCAGAACGAACGCUGGCGGCGUGCCUAACACAUGCAAGUCGUACGAGAAAUCCUGGGCAACUGGGAGAGUAAAGUGGCGCACGGGUGAGUAACGCGUGGGUAACCUACCCUUAAAUUGGGGAUAACUCUUCGAAAGGGGAGUUAAUACCGAAUAAUAUUUCAAUUUCUAUGGGAGUUGGAAUCAAAGGUGGCCUCUGCAUGCAAGCUAUCGUUUAAGGAUGGGCCCGCGUACCAUUAGCUAGUUGGUAGGGUAAUGGUCUACCAAGGCAACGAUGGUUAGCUGGUCUGAGAGGAUGGCCAGCCACACUGGAACUGAGACACGGUCCAGACUCCUACGGGAGGCAGCAGUGGGGAAUCUUGCGCAAUGGGGGAAACCUUGACGCAGCAACGCCGCGUGGGUGAUGAAGGCCUUCGGGUCGUAAAGCCCUGUCAGGUGGGAAGAAACCUGCGGAUGUUAAUACCAUCCGCACUUGACGGUACCACCGGAGGAAGCACCGGCUAACUCCGUGCCAGCAGCCGCGGUAAUACGGAGGGUGCAAGCGUUGUUCGGAAUUAUUGGGCGUAAAGCGCGUGUAGGUGGUCAGGUAAGUCAGAUGUGAAAGCCUUCUGCUUAACAGAAGAAGUGCAUUUGAAACUGCUUGGCUAGAGUACGGGAGAGGAGAGUGGAAUUCCCGGUGUAGAGGUGAAAUUCGUAGAUAUCGGGAGGAACACCAGUGGCGAAGGCGGCUCUCUGGUCCGAUACUGACACUGAGACGCGAAAGCGUGGGGAGCAAACAGGAUUAGAUACCCUGGUAGUCCACGCCGUAAACGAUGGGCACUAGGUGUAGGAGGUAUUGACCCCUUCUGUGCCGAAGCUAACGCAUUAAGUGCCCCGCCUGGGGAGUACGGCCGCAAGGCUAAAACCCAAAGGAAUUGACGGGGGCCCGCACAAGCGGUGGAGCAUGUGGUUCAAUUCGACGCAACGCGAAGAACCUUACCUGGGCUUGACAUCCGCUGACAGCUACGGAAACGUAGUCUUCCCCGCAAGGGGACAGCGAGACAGGUGCUGCAUGGCUGUCGUCAGCUCGUGUCGUGAGAUGUUGGGUUAAGUCCCGCAACGAGCGCAACCCUCAUCCUUAGUUGCCAUCAUUGAGUUGGGAACUCUAAGGAAACUGCCUCGGUUAACGGGGAGGAAGGUGGGGAUGACGUCAAGUCCUCAUGGCC